Molecule: transfer RNA, 77 nt
Filed under: Alphaproteobacteria bacterium
Lineage: Bacteria; Pseudomonadati; Pseudomonadota; Alphaproteobacteria
Also listed under: 1 other name
Description: tRNA-Met
Rfam family: tRNA
About the family: Transfer RNA (tRNA) molecules are approximately 80 nucleotides in length. Their secondary structure includes four short double-helical elements and three loops (D, anti-codon, and T loops).
Source: RNAcentral
GGCGGGGUAGCUCAGUUGGUGAGAGCGCAGGAUUCAUAACCCUGAGGUCGCUGGUUCAAGUCCAGCUCCCGCUACCA